AGCUAAAGUUAAUCAAUUUUUAUGAACUGGAUCAAAAGGGUUCACUAGUUAGUGUUAUGUAACCGAGACAUGAGGAGAAAAUGUUUAGGACAUACAGUUGAACUCAUGAGGAGCACAUUUUUGUACAGCCAUGGUAGAAAUAAGGAAUUGUCUGAGCUGACCUUGUGACUGGCACCAUCCCCCAUCCCUCUCUCUGAACAUUUUUAUGUGUUCUUGACUUUCAGGGUCCGAAGUUGAUUUCAAGAACUCGUGCUGCUUUGGGAGUCUAAACUCCUUCAGGGAAGAGAGGCCCAAAUGAGUUGAUGGUGAGAGCUUUCUGGCCUCCUUGUCUCUGACACUAUUUUAACGACAUGGUGAAGAACUUCAUGUGAGACUUCCCUCCCUAAGAAAUAAAGACUUCCUAACUGGU
Molecule: long non-coding RNA, 409 nt
Organism: Alexandromys fortis (reed vole)
Lineage: Eukaryota; Metazoa; Chordata; Mammalia; Rodentia; Cricetidae
Exons: 2
Source: RefSeq, a predicted model, not a curated record